RNAcentral lists this transfer RNA (69 nucleotides) under Ictidomys tridecemlineatus (thirteen-lined ground squirrel). RNAcentral describes it as "Spermophilus tridecemlineatus (thirteen-lined ground squirrel) tRNA". It matches the Rfam family "tRNA". From Rfam's summary of the family: Transfer RNA (tRNA) molecules are approximately 80 nucleotides in length. Lineage: Eukaryota; Metazoa; Chordata; Mammalia; Rodentia; Sciuridae. The record is from Rfam by way of RNAcentral.
GGGGUUGUGGCUCAGCGGUAGAGCGUUCGCCUUGCUGGUGCGAGACCCUGGGUUCGAUCCUCAGCACCA